CAGUGGCGAACGGGUGAGUAACACGUGAGUAACCUGCCCCAGUACUCUGGGAUAAGCCUUGGAAACGAGGUCUAAUACUGGAUAUGAGAUGCCCCUGCAUGGGGAGUGUCUGGAAAGAUUUAUCGGUCUGGGAUGGACUCGCGGCCUAUCAGCUUGUUGGUGGGGUAAUGGCCUACCAAGGCGACGACGGGUAGCCGGCCUGAGAGGGCGACCGGCCACACUGGGACUGAGACACGGCCCAGACUCCUACGGGAGGCAGCAGUGGGGAAUAUUGCACAAUGGGCGCAAGCCUGAUGCAGCGACGCCGCGUGAGGGAUGAAGGCCUUCGGGUUGUAAACCUCUUUCAGCAGGGAAGAAGCGCAAGUGACGGUACCUGCAGAAGAAGCGCCGGCUAACUACGUGCCAGCAGCCGCGGUAAUACGUAGGGCGCAAGCGUUGUCCGGAAUUAUUGGGCGUAAAGAGCUCGUAGGCGGUUUGUCGCGUCUGGUGUGAAAACUCAAGGCUCAACCUUGAGCUUGCAUCGGGUACGGGCAGACUAGAGUGCGGUAGGGGUGACUGGAAUUCCUGGUGUAGCGGUGGAAUGCGCAGAUAUCAGGAGGAACACCGAUGGCGAAGGCAGGUCACUGGGCCGCAACUGACGC
This 641-nucleotide ribosomal RNA is filed under the name Oerskovia sp. I13A-00630. RNAcentral describes it as "bacterial SSU rRNA". It matches the Rfam family "Bacterial small subunit ribosomal RNA", at positions 93 to 746 of the family's 1533-position model. The record is from RNAcentral. Lineage: Bacteria; Bacillati; Actinomycetota; Actinomycetes; Micrococcales; Cellulomonadaceae.